Non-coding RNA from Arachis ipaensis, 545 nucleotides. The record is from RefSeq and is a predicted model, not a curated record. NCBI's taxonomy places the organism in Eukaryota, Viridiplantae, Streptophyta, Magnoliopsida, Fabales, Fabaceae.
CUGCCGUGUCCGUUGCGGUAGAAAGCUUCUAGAUCGAGCCACCUCUUCUAUCAACGUGUUUUCAGAUAUGUUCUCUCUAUACUGUCGUUGCUGCCACUGUUGCCACUACAGUUUCUGCCACCGUUGUCACUACAGUUUCUACCGUUGAUGCCACCGUAGUUGCCAUGGUAUUUACACUAUUGUCGGACUGAAUGCCACCCUCGUCUAUCAGAAUCUGUUGCAACAUUACUACAGAAAAGUUGUGAAAAUCAGGCAGGAUAUGAGGCAGCAAGCCAAUGAAACUGGAGAAGCUACUACACCAAUUAUAGUAAGGCAGCUAGAAGAUAUUUUUAGGUUGAAUGAGACAUUUGCCAAAAUGAAACUGUACGUAUUGCUAUUAUUUUUCAUAGACUUUACUUGCCCGUUCGCAACAUCUGCUUCGGUUUAAUUAAAACAUUAGUUAAUCCUUUAUAAGAAAUUUGUACCAAUCAUAGUAAUAUAGAAUAGUGGUAGUAGAAUAGAGUAGAAAUAGGAAAAUAGAGAAGAUAAAAUGGGAGAGAUAUGAG